AUCCUUGGCUGGAUGAAAAGAAGGUCAGAGGAUGUGAGCCAUGAAUGGGGCCUGCAGAUGUUCAAAUGGAGGUGGUGUUAAUCAGACAAAGGGCAGUUUGUAUGAACCAGAAUCAGGCCUGGCCUGUGAGGGAAAUGUAGUAGGGGCCAGAUUGUUUCCAAUCUCUGCUGUUCAGAGGUCAAGGGAUGCAGGCCUACUGUGUAUCACCAACUCUUCUGUGUAGGCCGUGUGUCUGCUGGAGUCGUAGGCAGGAGUCCAGACCCUAUGAGGAAACUUGACAAAAAAUGUGAUGAAAAUCCAAGACCUUUUCUGGCCAUCCUUGUGUUUAAACCUCAUAGCUCUCCAUGCUGGAAAGAAGGUAGGUUGAAGACGGUAAAGUGAGGUCCCUUUGCUCAGUGUUAGGGAAACAGGAGUAAACUAAGGGGUAGACGCAAUUUAGUUGAUAAUCUCAGUCUCUUUGCCUAUGUUCUCAGUUUGCCAGCCUUUGUGAAUAGUUUGCUUCAGCGAGGGGAUGGUUGGAUGGGGUGCAGUAGUCAUGAGGGAGAGAGAUGGGUGCGGGUGCAGAGAAAUAGGAAGGGAGGGGGUUAAAGCUAGUUCCUGGAGAGCUUGAAGGCUACAGCAGAAUAGAUACAGUUUAUAUUGUAUGCAGCUUCGAUGUAAGCGCAUCUGCCUCUGGCUUGAUGUAGCCAUUACUCCAGUGCUGCUUGCUGUAGAGGUUAAGAGAGGCAGGUUCCUAUGAGUCAGCUUAUGUACUCAGGGGACUGCCAGAUAAGGAGUGGGCUUCUGUUUGCCAUGUAGUGAGAUGUGUCUGAAUUCCAUGCUCCCUUGUCCUCUGCCAAACUUCCUCAGGCCCUCACUUACAUUCCUCAUUGUAUGUAUGGUGGCUUCUCCCUCCUUCCAUUCACCUUCAUGAUGACCCAGGUAAAAGUUUCAGGUUCUGGACCGUACCUCACACCCACAGCUGGUGUCUGCUCCAGCAUCAUGGCAGAGAACACCACGCUGUGGCUAAUGUCUCUGACAUUCCAGGCAGCCUUGGACAAGCGAAAGGAGAAGUGUUCUACACUGGGAAAAGUCUCCACCCCAGAGCAGACCUCGAUAUGGGAGAGCUGACCAGAUGGGCAGGCGCUUUGUCUUUGUAGAAGCUCAUUUCUGAAUGGCCAGCAACCGUGCAAUGUGCAAAUCCCAGAGCUCAGCAGUGGAACACGGCAGGCCGGAGCAAGAGAUGAGGCCCACGUGCAAAGAAACAAGGACCACUGUCAGCUAGAGGAAUUCUCUAGAUCCUUCCAGAUACCGUGUUCAAAGCUCAGAUUCUGAUAUGAAGGCAUUUCUCAGCCCUGCAUGUGGGAGUCAUUUCAUAUCCAGUUCAUACACCCCCACCCCCAGGUUUUCUUAUGCCUCUGUCCUCCUUCAAUGGAUCUGGCUGCAUUCCCUGCUCCUCAGCGUCUCAAUGAGAAGCAGGCAGAGAGACUCCUGUGAACUCAUUUGCUCUCCCAGUUCCCUCUGCACCUGCUGCCUCCAGGGCAGUGAAUCCAGCCGUUUCCACAGCAAACAGUCAUAAACAGCCGGAAGCAGUCCAGCACUUCCGGCGCAGAAGCAGGGUGGGGAGUAACUGCUUUGGCAGAGUCCAUUUUCAUACAGAUGUUCUCAUCCAGAAAACCGGAGACUGCAGAGCAUGAAGUGGGUCGGGUUGCAAAUGACAAGGCCUGCGAAGUGCAUUAGGCUGAAGUUCAGACGAUGACUCAGAGCUUCCUCAAAGAUGACCUGCACCUCACAGCACGCCAACUGGGGGCCAGAGGUUUGGGAAAGGCGGGACACAGCUGAGGAAACUGAAACUGAAGAGGCCCACCCUGGUUGUGCAAACAAAGACCCAAACAUA
RNAcentral lists this small RNA (1876 nucleotides) under Rattus norvegicus (Norway rat). RNAcentral describes it as "uncharacterized LOC102547438". The record is from RNAcentral. Lineage: Eukaryota; Metazoa; Chordata; Mammalia; Rodentia; Muridae.